AUGAUUUUGUAUCUACGGAUGUCAGGCUGCACUGUACCAAGGCAAAGCCUGUUUCUUUUAGCUGUGUCUUGGUCUUCAACACAGGUCCCUCUGUGUAGAAGAUGCUGUGUAAUACAACAGAAAAGAACUGGAAUCCAUUUCAAGCCUAGGAGGAAAUUCAACCUGGACUAUCUUUUUCUUUCAAGAAAAUUAACAAAGAACCAAAGGAGCCCUUUAUCUACCGAGUGCAGACUUCAUUAAUUAAUCCUUUUUAUCUAUGACAGUUAAAGGUAAAUCUAGAAUAUUCUGUCCCCUUGAAAUGAUUUCUAGUU
RNAcentral lists this long non-coding RNA (311 nucleotides) under Oryctolagus cuniculus (rabbit). RNAcentral describes it as "lncRNA (ENSOCUG00000032621.1)". Lineage: Eukaryota; Metazoa; Chordata; Mammalia; Lagomorpha; Leporidae. The record is from RNAcentral.